Molecule: unclassified non-coding RNA, 326 nt
Filed under: uncultured fungus
Lineage: Eukaryota; Fungi
Description: partial contains 5.8S ribosomal RNA and internal transcribed spacer 2
Rfam family: 5.8S ribosomal RNA (bases 1-133)
Source: RNAcentral
UGGUUCCGGCAUCGAUGAAGAACGCAGCGAAAUGCGAUAAGUAAUGCGAAUUGCAGAAUUCCGCGAGUCAUCGAAUCUUUGAACGCACAUUGCGCCCUCUGGUAUUCCGGAGGGCAUGCCUGUUCGAGCGUCAUUAUCAACCCUUAAGCCCCGGCUUGCUGUUGGGUCCCGCCGUUGCUCUCUCGGCGGAUCCGAAAAAUAAUGGCCGAGUCCGCAAGACCCCAGAUGCAGCGAGCUUCUAGCACGCGUCUGGACGGGCUCCGGGCUUGGUCUUAACCAACUGACUACUUCUGGUUGACCUCGGAUCAGGUAGGGAUACCCGCUGA